This is a long non-coding RNA of Arabidopsis thaliana (thale cress), 618 nucleotides long. RefSeq annotates it as other RNA. The record is from RefSeq. The transcript has a single exon. NCBI's taxonomy places the organism in Eukaryota, Viridiplantae, Streptophyta, Magnoliopsida, Brassicales, Brassicaceae.
AUGAUGUAAGCAUGCCACGUGAGACAUCGUCCUACAUGUAUAAAGCACGCGUACAUAUACGAUAUGUGUAUUUUUCUUUUUCGAUCUUCUGUGUAUGUAUUUUUCAAGUAUAUAUUUUUAGUUUUUUAGUGUAUAGUAUUUAUUAAAUACGAUACCAAUUAUUCCGCAUGCAUUUCCACCAAUUUCACUUCAACUAUUAAGAACCCGCGAUUAAUGUCUCUUUCCUGGUCACAGUAGAAUUAUACAAAGAGCCUUCCGCCAAAACGUUGGACUCGUUCCACCGUAACGAUAUUGAAACCGUAAAGUCAUUGCUCGUGUUCUUUUUUCUGGACAUAAAUCAUAUUUAUUCACCAAGUUUUUGAAAUAUGUUAGAGAAGAUAAAUAGAUCAUCUUUUUACAAGAUACAGAAUAUUAUCGGAAUGACAUGUCGAGGAAUGAGAUAAGUGAACUAUUAUCGGUGAUCUUUGCUUAAACAAUUGAUGAUGAUCGGUCUCUUCGAUAUAUGAACAAUAGAACUACAGAAUAUUAUUGGAAUAAAUAAAAUAUCGAAAAUAUUGAAACUGCAUUUCGUGAUAACAAAAUACUAUACUAAAGAUCUCGGUUAUUAUCAUUUUUCAC